This 253-nucleotide ribosomal RNA is filed under the name uncultured bacterium. RNAcentral's name for it is "partial 16S ribosomal RNA". It matches the Rfam family "Bacterial small subunit ribosomal RNA", at positions 524 to 776 of the family's 1533-position model. The record is from RNAcentral.
UACGUAGGGAGCAAGCGUUGUUCGGAUUUACUGGGCGUAAAGAGCGCGCAGGCGGGCGUUCAAGUCGCGUGUGAAAGCCCCCGGCUCAACUGGGGAGGGUCACGCGAUACUGAUCGACUCGAAGGCAGGAGAGGGUAGUGGAAUUCCUGGUGUAGCGGUGAAAUGCGCAGAUAUCAGGAAGAACACCCGUGGCGAAGGCGGCUCUCUGGUACGUGACUGACGCUGAGACGCGAAAGCGUGGGGAGCGAACAGG